This 399-nucleotide ribosomal RNA is filed under the name Vibrio alginolyticus. RNAcentral's name for it is "bacterial SSU rRNA". It matches the Rfam family "Bacterial small subunit ribosomal RNA", at positions 1 to 386 of the family's 1533-position model. RNAcentral also lists the same sequence under 1 other name. Lineage: Bacteria; Pseudomonadati; Pseudomonadota; Gammaproteobacteria; Vibrionales; Vibrionaceae. The record is from RNAcentral.
AAAUUGAAGAGUUUGAUCAUGGCUCAGAUUGAACGCUGGCGGCAGGCCUAACACAUGCAAGUCGAGCGGAAACGAGUUAUCUGAACCUUCGGGGAACGAUAACGGCGUCGAGCGGCGGACGGGUGAGUAAUGCCUAGGAAAUUGCCCUGAUGUGGGGGAUAACCAUUGGAAACGAUGGCUAAUACCGCAUGAUGCCUACGGGCCAAAGAGGGGGACCUUCGGGCCUCUCGCGUCAGGAUAUGCCUAGGUGGGAUUAGCUAGUUGGUGAGGUAAGGGCUCACCAAGGCGACGAUCCCUAGCUGGUCUGAGAGGAUGAUCAGCCACACUGGAACUGAGACACGGUCCAGACUCCUACGGGAGGCAGCAGUGGGGAAUAUUGCACAAUGGGCGCAAGCCUGA